This 465-nucleotide ribosomal RNA is filed under the name Vreelandella stevensii. RNAcentral's name for it is "partial 16S ribosomal RNA". It matches the Rfam family "Bacterial small subunit ribosomal RNA", at positions 338 to 795 of the family's 1533-position model. Lineage: Bacteria; Pseudomonadati; Pseudomonadota; Gammaproteobacteria; Oceanospirillales; Halomonadaceae. The record is from RNAcentral.
CCUACGGGUGGCAGCAGUGGGGAAUAUUGGACAAUGGGGGCAACCCUGAUCCAGCCAUGCCGCGUGUGUGAAGAAGGCCCUCGGGUUGUAAAGCACUUUCAGUGAGGAAGAACGCCUGGUGGUUAAUACCCAUCAGGAAAGACAUCACUCACAGAAGAAGCACCCGCUAACUCCGUGCCAGCAGCCGCGGUAAUACGGAGGGUGCGAGCGUUAAUCGGAAUUACUGGGCGUAAAGCGCGCGUAGGUGGCUUGAUAAGCCGGUUGUGAAAGCCCCGGGCUCAACCUGGGAACGGCAUCCGGAACUGUCAAGCUAGAGUGCAGGAGAGGAAGGUAGAAUUCCCGGUGUAGCGGUGAAAUGCGUAGAGAUCGGGAGGAAUACCAGUGGCGAAGGCGGCCUUCUGGACUGACACUGACACUGAGGUGCGAAAGCGUGGGUAGCAAACAGGAUUAGAUACCCCUGUAGUC